CAGCCGCCGCGGGAAUACGAAGGGUGCAAGCGUUACCCGGAAUGACUGGGCGUAAAGCGUGCGUAGGUGGUGGUUUAAGUCCGUUGUGAAAGCCCUGGGCUCAACCUGGGAAUUGCAGUGGAUACUGGGUCACUAGAGUGUGGUAGAGGAUAGUGGAAUUUCCGGUGUAGCAGUGAAAUGCGUAGAGAUCGGAAGGAACAUCUGUGGCGAAGGCGACUAUCUGGGCCAACACUGACACUGAGGCACGAAAGCGUGGGGAGCAAACAGGAUUAGAUACCCCCGUAGUCCCUGUCUCUUAUAC
RNAcentral lists this ribosomal RNA (301 nucleotides) under uncultured bacterium. RNAcentral's name for it is "partial 16S ribosomal RNA". It matches the Rfam family "Bacterial small subunit ribosomal RNA", at positions 509 to 807 of the family's 1533-position model. The record is from RNAcentral.